AUCUGCAAAUGUUCUAAAAUUCAGCGAUCUGCUUUCAGUGCUGAUCUCAGUUCUUGAAAUGCUCUGAAGAUGAGUCUGCUGCACGUCUGUUUCUCCACAAGAAAUAUGUCUCAUGGAGAGGAACAUCCAAGAAAUCUUUAACAUGAUUGUGAAAGAGAUGACAGUUCUGCUUCUUAUAUGAUAUUGAGAGUUGACUUGUAGGUACAGCAACCUGACAAUGACAGAUUUUCAGCAUGAACUAUUUACAUCAGAGCUUUAUCCAAGGUUUAACAGUAGCAUUGAAGCUGCACUUUUUAAUGGUGACAACCUGGACAAGUAUAAAAAGGUACAGAUGGGAAGUGUUUCUCAUCUGCUGCUCCAUCAAACACCACUGCAUGAAAAAGAAGCCAGGGGAAGGAAUGUUGAGCAAAGGAGGGAGGGAGUGAAGAGAGAUGGAGAGGCCUCAGUCAUUCAAGUUGCAUCUCUCAUUUCUCUUGGUUCCAGCAGCUACUUCUGUGCACUGAGGGAUAGACCUAAGAAGAAGAAGAAUUCCGAACCAGUGGUGCAAAUGCUUGCAAAGAUCUUGGUGACCUGCACAGAGCCUCUUUGUUUUGAUAUCCAGGUA
Long non-coding RNA from Passer domesticus (house sparrow), 604 nucleotides. RefSeq lists it as uncharacterized. The transcript has 3 exons. Lineage: Eukaryota; Metazoa; Chordata; Aves; Passeriformes; Passeridae. The record is from RefSeq and is a predicted model, not a curated record.